Molecule: long non-coding RNA, 665 nt
Organism: Helicoverpa armigera (cotton bollworm)
Lineage: Eukaryota; Metazoa; Arthropoda; Insecta; Lepidoptera; Noctuidae
Exons: 2
Source: RefSeq, a predicted model, not a curated record
AUUAUAAAACGCGGCAUCAAAUAAGUAUCGGCUUUUGUACUACCUUUAAUCCACCUUUAAGUACGACCUUGAAAAAACGUUAUUACAAAACGCAGUUUAUCGCAAGUCCUAUUACUAUCUGUAGUACAAAAGAUAAACCAUCGAGCUCCCUAGUUUAACUGCAGUACUUAGUCGACAAACGUCAAAUUCCGACAUUAUUUACUUUUGAGGUUAUUUGUUUUGUGAUGAAAAAAAAACGAAAGUGGAUAUAAAUAUGUGUGAUUUGGAAUCCUUUGAUGUGUUAGAAUACUAUUGAGAGUGUCCGGGGACCCAACAGAAUGCGUCAUCGACAAAAUCCCUUCAAAUUAUCUGACGACAAUUUUCGAUAUAAAUAUCGAUUUACGUUUUUCGAAAUAAUAGUCAAUUGAAUGCAUGAUGAUAAUCCAGGAUGAUCCUAUGAUGCUCAACUGGGCUCGCCAUAAAAUUCAAGACUAUUUUGGCGUUUUGCACGCCAUAUCUCUGCCAGUAAUAUGCAAUGUUUGUAAAAGACUGGAAGCUUGCUAAAAUGUACAAAAAUGCCUAGAUGAGAAAGGGAACAAUAUUGUGUGAUGAAGAACAGUGUCCAACAUGUAUCAGUGCAUUUGACUGUAUAAAUAGACGUCGGAAUAAAAUAUAAUUUUCUACUU